UACGUAGGGGGCGAGCGUUGUCCGAAGUUACUGGGCGUAAAGCGCGCGUAGGCGGUCAUUUAAGUCUGAGGUGAAAGGUUCAGCGCUCAACGUGAACAGUGCCUUGGAUACUGGGUGACUUGAGUUCGGGAGGGGGCAGUGGAAUUCCCGGUGUAGCGGUGAAAUGCGUAGAUAUCGGGAGGAAUACCUAUGGCGAAAGCAGGCUACUGGACCGUCACUGACUCUGAUCUGCGAAAGCUAGGGGAGCAAACAGG
RNAcentral lists this ribosomal RNA (254 nucleotides) under uncultured bacterium. RNAcentral's name for it is "partial 16S ribosomal RNA". It matches the Rfam family "Bacterial small subunit ribosomal RNA", at positions 524 to 776 of the family's 1533-position model. The record is from RNAcentral.